This 1639-nucleotide long non-coding RNA is filed under the name Zostera marina. RNAcentral describes it as "long non-coding RNA (ZMAR_LNC000343)". Lineage: Eukaryota; Viridiplantae; Streptophyta; Magnoliopsida; Alismatales; Zosteraceae. The record is from RNAcentral.
UUAUAAUAGUGAUAAAAUAAAACCAGAGCAGACCAAUUCCAUCCAUCAAACAAUCGAGUGGCGAGCAUCUAUUCGAUGGCUGUCCGUAUUCGUUUAUAUCAUCAAUAAAUUUUGUUCGGUGGCAAGUCAUGGGAGCCAUUAGUAGCGUGCCCAUAGAUGUAAGGAUAGGGGAUCUGUUCACAGGGAUUCAGCUCUUUCGGCCUCUGCCCGCUUUUGUCUGGCAUUUUUGAGUUGAAAGAAAUGCGAGGUAUAAGAAGUUAUCUUCAUAGAAAGUAGAUAUAAGAAGUUGAAGGGCUCGAGACAAGAGGAACAAGCUCUUCAAGGAUGGUCGGGAGCCUCUGCUGCAGUUAUAGCUGUAAACGCAAGGGAAUAAAUCCAGGGAUCCAUCUUUUAUUUUAUGCUUUAGUAUUAGUAGCUCUUUUUUUUUAUUAAUUUAAAUUCUGUUGAACUUUAUUUUUAAAUGCAGUCAGGAAAAAUCGUCAUCUAAAAAAAAAAUCGAGUGGCGAGCUGAUAUCGUAAUCAUGGUAAUUGAUUGACGUAUCCUAAGCGGGAUAUGUAGAUGAAUAGAAUGGUGAGUAGAUGACAGCAAAUUUGAGGUGUGUUAAUAAAUCUGAAGAGUCAUAUCAUGGACCUCACGGUUUCCCUCCCAAAUUUCCAAUGGCCGUCUGACCGCACAACCGUCCAUUCAAAACCCAUCCAAUUAUCAAACACACUGCUGUUGCCUGUUGCACUGACUCACCGGUUAGAGAAAAUUCAAAAAAGGAAGUCCACUAGACCACCACUACUUUUAUUAUUAAACUACACUACUAUACAACACUAGAGAAAAUAUGAAACGUCAUUUCAUGUCUAGACUUCAUGUGAUUUAAUUCAUGCAGAUUUUACCAGAAUAGAUGACACGUUACAUCAAUUCAUUAUCUUCUGGAUUAUUUUCAAUUUUAUGUUGCCAGCCAACAUCAAACAUUCAAGAAUCGAGACCUGAUAUCUUUCCAAAAAGUACAGGUACAAAUGCUCCUAAUCCCCUAUAGAGUAUAAUAAACUAUACAAGGAUUUUUAAAAGCUAUUAUAUAAAACAAAAUUCAUUUUGCAAAAUCUUCCUGUAAUUUCCUAAAAACUCUUCUAUUUAGACACCAUGCAAUAAUUUAGAAUCUUAGAUGGUUCGAUGAAGAUAUAGGAAGAGACUGAUUCUUCUAUUUUUACAUAUUACACAUGGACGGACAUGCAUUACAAACCAAUUAGUGCAUGAUUCUCUACUUUAGAAGUCAAAAUUUUAACAAAUGAUAAAUAUACCACAAAUAGGGAGGGGGGGGACUAAUAACUGAGUACUGCUCAAAGAAGAAUAAGAAAGCCAGUGGAAGCUCCUGCUAGAUUAGGAAAUUAACAUACAAUGGGAAUACGUACAUGAGCCCAAUGACAUUCAUGAUUCCUGAGGUGCACAGCUAAAACCUGUGUUCUAUUUCUUCUUUCUUAUUGGUUUUACAAUUCGCCUGUUGGACUUGUUGUCACCACCACCACCACUGCCUAAUGAGAAACUUCCUCCAGCAGCCUGGAAUUGAGGAGCUUGGGGAAAAGCAGAAUUUGGCUGACUGCCGAACUGAAAAUUUGCUGGCUGGGAAGACAGAGAACUGAAAUUUACUGAUGG